This 468-nucleotide ribosomal RNA is filed under the name uncultured bacterium. RNAcentral's name for it is "partial 16S ribosomal RNA". It matches the Rfam family "Bacterial small subunit ribosomal RNA", at positions 28 to 507 of the family's 1533-position model. The record is from RNAcentral.
GACGAACGCUGGCGGCGUGCUUAACACAUGCAAGUCGAACGGAAAGGCCCUGCUUUUGUGGGGUGCUCGAUUGGCGAACGGGUGAGUAACACGUGAGUAACUUGCCCUUGACUUUGGGAUAACUUCAGGAAACUGGGGCUAAUACCGGAUAGGAUCUCCUGCUGCAUGGUGUGGGUUGGAAAGUUUCGGCGGUUGGGGAUGGAUUCGCUGCUUAUCAGCUUGUUGGUGGGGUAGUGGCUUACCAAGGCUUUGACGGGUAGCCGGCCUGGGAGGGUGACCGGCGACAUUGGGACUGAGAUACGGCCCAGACUCCUACGGGAGGCAGCAGUGGGGAAUAUUGCACAAUGGGCGGAAGCCUGAUGCAGAAACGCCGCGUGCGGGAUGAUGGCCUUCGGGUUGUAAACCGCUUUCGACUGUGACGAAGCGUGAGUGACGGUAAUGGGUAAAGAAGCACCGGCUAACUACGUG